Molecule: unclassified non-coding RNA, 400 nt
Filed under: uncultured fungus
Lineage: Eukaryota; Fungi
Description: sequence contains ITS1
Rfam family: 5.8S ribosomal RNA (bases 1-109)
Source: RNAcentral
GAAAUGCGAUACGUAAUGUGAAUUGCAGGAUUCAGUGAAUCAUCAAAAUCUUGAACGCACAUGGCGCCUUCGAGUCUUCGGAUUCUGAGGCAUAUCUGUUUGAGUGUCACUUACCCCUCUCACACAAAACACAAAUUUAUUUUUGAGUUUUUCAGUGUGGACGUUGACUGUUGUGUGCAGCCCGUGUGGCAGCGCACAUCGGUUUAAAAGCAGUGGUGAGAAGUUGCUCGACAACUCCUCGAACAAUGGCUGGGUAAGUUCUUCGGAACAAAACUAAGUCUGCGUUCUUGGGCUCAAGUAGUCAGCGGCGCUUGCCUGCGCAGGAUUGAAACGAGUUUGAAGUAGAUGCUGGCAACGGCGGAAACUGAUAGCUCGCGUCAACGCAAAAACCCUUUGACCU